Molecule: long non-coding RNA, 694 nt
Organism: Populus nigra (black poplar)
Lineage: Eukaryota; Viridiplantae; Streptophyta; Magnoliopsida; Malpighiales; Salicaceae
Exons: 3
Source: RefSeq, a predicted model, not a curated record
UAUGCCUCACCCCCACGAUCAUUGUCUGGGGAGAAAGAGAGGACAUUCAGAGAAAAGACCACAAAAAGGGGGGGACGAGCGCACUGGACGGGGGAGAGACGGGAGAAAAAACGAAAAAACCAGAGGAGGAGAGAACGAACAAGGGGUAUUUUUUCGGAAGCUGAGAAAAAUCACAGAAAACAGAGAGAACACAAACAGAGGAGAAAAAAAACCAAAGAACUGGGGAAGUAAACAGAGGACAGACGAAAACAAAAGAAAGGGAAUAAACAGAGAGAAAGACCACAACAGGAGGACACAACUCGAGGGGACGAACAACACAGGGGAGACCUGGAAACGCAAACAGAGGCGAAUGAACAGAAGCAUACCAGGAAAUAAAGAACAAAGAAAGCAAAAGAAAAGCAAGAAAAGGGGAGAGUAACAUCAGCCAGAAAGAACAAGCCUCCUUCUUCAGCAGCCCGCUGAAACAGGUUUAUGGUGUCGAACCAGCAGAAAGUGCAGUCUUGAAUGGAGAAAAACCUGGUGCGCAUUUGAUUGAAGGACUUGGUGCUGGCGUUCGUUGUACCUCCUGCUUUGGAUAAUGACCUGCUUGAUGAAGUUUCACACUGUUUAAGAAAUUGAGCUUGUUGGCACAUAAAUUUCGAACCUUGGAAUCAUGAUAUCUGUGGUUGUUAUAACUUAAUUUUUGAUUUCUUUU